RNAcentral lists this ribosomal RNA (468 nucleotides) under uncultured bacterium. RNAcentral's name for it is "partial 16S ribosomal RNA". It matches the Rfam family "Bacterial small subunit ribosomal RNA", at positions 28 to 507 of the family's 1533-position model. The record is from RNAcentral.
GACGAACGCUGGCGGCGUGCUUAACACAUGCAAGUCGAACGGAAAGGCCCUGCUUUUGUGGGGUGCUCGAGUGGCGAACGGGUGAGUAACACGUGAGUAACCUGCCCUUGACUUUGGGAUAACUUCAGGAACCUGGGGCUAAUACCGGAUAGGAGCUCCUGCUGCAUGUUGGGGGUUGGAAAGUUUCGGCGGUUGGGGAUGGACUCGCGGCCUAUCAGCUUGUUGGUGGGGUAGUGGCUUACCAAGGCUUUGACGGGUAGCCGGCCUGAGAGGGUGACCGGCCACAUUGGGACUGAGAUAAGGCCCAGACUCCUACGGGAGGCAGCAGUGGGGAAUAUUGCACAAUGGGCGGAAGCCUGAUGCAGCAACGCCGCGUGCGGGAUGACGGCCUUCGGGUUGUAAACCGCUUUCGCCUGUGACGAAGCGUGAGUGACGGUAAUGGGUAAAGAAGCACCGGCUAACUACGUG